RNAcentral lists this long non-coding RNA (207 nucleotides) under Carica papaya (papaya). RNAcentral's name for it is "long non-coding RNA (CPAP_LNC007106)". Lineage: Eukaryota; Viridiplantae; Streptophyta; Magnoliopsida; Brassicales; Caricaceae. The record is from RNAcentral.
UUGUGUUGAUAAAAAAUAAAAGCAGUGGCCAACCAUCGCCGCAUGAAGAAGAAAACUAAGUAGCAGCCAUGGCUGCCGCAUAUGAAGAAAAAAUGAGAAAACCCAGCUAGAUCUGCAGCCGAAGAGGAUCGGCUCGGUCAUGCGACCGUUUGACAACUAAAACACCUGCCAAAUCUCACGUGUAAUAAUCGAUUUUUUCCAACCAUU